UCAUACAAGCUGGGGAGCUAGCGGUGCCCUAUAUCCACAAUCCGCUUUAGUGGAAGCCAUAUUAUUUUUAAGGUACACUUUGGUAUUACGCCAUAUGAGGAAGUGUUGAGAGUGUAGUUCUAUUUGGUAGAAAUUAGGCGAACUAUGUCAGAUCGGGAACGAAGCAGCAUUAAGACUAGAUUUCUAGGUUUAUAGAGUAGCUACACUUGAGUGAAAUCAUAUGAAACGGAUGGUAAUUGUGUUUCGAGAAUUUAAUGUAUGA
RNAcentral lists this signal recognition particle RNA (262 nucleotides) under Sneathia sanguinegens. Its description in RNAcentral is "signal recognition particle sRNA large type". It matches the Rfam family "Bacterial large signal recognition particle RNA". Rfam says of the family: The signal recognition particle (SRP) is a universally conserved ribonucleoprotein involved in the co-translational targeting of proteins to membranes. Archaeal SRP consists of a 7S RNA and homologues of the eukaryotic SRP19 and SRP54 proteins. Lineage: Bacteria; Fusobacteriati; Fusobacteriota; Fusobacteriia; Fusobacteriales; Leptotrichiaceae. The record is from RNAcentral.